This 76-nucleotide non-coding RNA is filed under the name uncultured Eubacterium sp. RNAcentral's name for it is "Glycine riboswitch". It matches the Rfam family "Glycine riboswitch aptamer", at positions 8 to 87 of the family's 94-position model. Rfam says of the family: This family represents the bacterial glycine riboswitch. Glycine riboswitches usually consist of two metabolite-binding aptamers domains with similar structures in tandem. The record is from RNAcentral. Lineage: Bacteria; Bacillati; Bacillota; Clostridia; Eubacteriales; Eubacteriaceae.
CGCUCUGGAGAAUCCCGUUAACGGGUGCCGAAGGUGUAAGCGGUCUUCCGUGAUCUCUCAGGCAAAAGGACAGAGC